GGCAUUUAGGUAGCAGAUCAAAUUUGGAUCGAGUAUUUCUGAUUUCAAGUAUUUUAGAACUAUGAAGAUUGGUACUGUUUGGAUAUUUUAAAAUUCUGGAUCGGGUACGGUUCAGUACUUAUUGAAUCCGGUUUGGAGCGGUUAUAUCCAAAAUAUCAAAAUUUUAUCGAAUUCGGUUUGGUUAUAUGUGUAUCAAUAAAACUUAAUCCAAGAAAAUUGAAUCUAUCUGAAAUAUCUGACUCUAG
RNAcentral lists this long non-coding RNA (245 nucleotides) under Brassica rapa (field mustard). RNAcentral's name for it is "long non-coding RNA (BRAP_LNC005367)". The record is from RNAcentral. Lineage: Eukaryota; Viridiplantae; Streptophyta; Magnoliopsida; Brassicales; Brassicaceae.